UGGCUCAGUGGUUAAGAGCACUGGCUGCCCUUCCAGGGGAUCUGGGUUCAAUUCCCAG
This 58-nucleotide transfer RNA is filed under the name Neotoma lepida (desert woodrat). It matches the Rfam family "tRNA", at positions 8 to 63 of the family's 71-position model. From Rfam's summary of the family: Transfer RNA (tRNA) molecules are approximately 80 nucleotides in length. The record is from Rfam by way of RNAcentral. Lineage: Eukaryota; Metazoa; Chordata; Mammalia; Rodentia; Cricetidae.